GGCGAGGCGGGGGAGAGGGGCUGGCCCCGGGCAGGGCGGUGGUUGCCUGUGUCGCAGCCGCGCCGCGCGGCCGUGCGCUGUUACGGUCGGCCAUACCGGCACGCGGGUGUUGAGGGCGCUGGGCCUGCCCCGUUUGCGGGGCGGCCGCUUUGCUCGGUGGAAGGUGGUGAAAGCUGCCGAGCCUCGCAGGGCAGUGCCUCGGCGCUGCUCUGCGCCGCUCCCCGGCGUGCGCGCGAGAGACGGGCUUCGCACGUUCGUACGAGCCGGGGCGUGAAACCGUGCAACCACAGCGCGAGAAGUGGAGAGGCUUCGAUUCGUUGGGCAGUUAGGUGAUUUACGACUGAUAGUGUGCCUAUUUCACACUAAGGAGUGGAGCUUUUAAAUGCCCCUUCGUCUAAUGACAGGGGAAAGGUCAGCAUUCGCACACUAAGGCGGGUGUAAGCGUGGAUGGAGACUAUGCCUGAGACUGCAUUUUUGUGUGAAACAGAACGGCCAAGAAACAGCCUCAGGGUGGGGCUUCACGAUCAUAGUCCCUCCCAUCUCGGUGUUGCCGAGGGAUGCGGGCAGGUGCGGACAUCAGCACUCCUGUGGGCCUGCACUGACGUACAGGAGGGCACCAGCCCAGCCGCAAAUUAAGACUGUAACAAAUUGGUGGUUUCCACCCUAGCUGGCUCCCUGGCCAAGCCCACAGUCAGUUACAAGCACCAGUGGGACAGGAGCACCGCUUGCCACAGCAGCACCGUGUAUUUUGGUGGAAUAAGGCCAUCAGGAAACUGCACCUUGAGACAUUGUGUUCAUGUAUAGCCUCAAGAUAAGUGAAAAUAAUGCUUUCUGAACUCUGCACUGCUUAGAAGGGUGCUGUAGGACUCAGAAAAGGAAAUAAUCUCUUAAAAAUUGUUCUUAGUAUGGAGAAAGACAUGUGCAACAUUAUCCAAAAUAUUGACUUACUACUGUGGUCAAGAGAAAUAUUUUAUAAAGUAUGGAGAAAGAGUAUGUGACCUCCGGUGAAGCACCAGCUUUGUCAUUCUGAAGAGGUAAACAAAGUCACACAGGAAACUGAUUUCACCUGCAUUAGUAUCCUGUUCUGUGCAUGGUCUGGGUUCAGUAUUGUAUACCAUUCCGCUCAGCAAACAUCUAUUUUUUUGGAAAAAAUAAAAAAUUGAGACAGAUUGA
This is a long non-coding RNA of Cyanistes caeruleus (blue tit), 1173 nucleotides long. RefSeq lists it as uncharacterized. The record is from RefSeq and is a predicted model, not a curated record. Lineage: Eukaryota; Metazoa; Chordata; Aves; Passeriformes; Paridae.